UAGUAGUAGGUAGUUGUUGUUGUUGUUGUGGCUGUUGUAAUAGUAGUAGUAGUUUUGCAGAAGUAGUAGUAGUAGUAGUAGUACUAGUAGUAGAAGUAAUAGUAGUAACUUUCAAAGCAAUGUCUACAAGUUUAAAUUCCUUAACCCUGUUCAAGGUGUAUACACACUCAAUAUUUAACUACAGUCCAGGUUUGCAAUUAACAAACUAUCUGAAAAGCCUGUGUGUGAGUCAGAUGUGUCUGCGGCUAAUCUAUUGGUUAUAAAAUAUCACAGCCUUUUCUGAUUGGCUGAGUUCAAAUACAGAAAGUUUACCUGUUAGAUUGAAAUUCUGGAGAAGGCGUAUUGAAGAAAAAAUGCAGGUUAAACUUGUUGUUAAAAUGAAGUUAAUGUAAUUUCACAAACAGUAGAGUUAAUGAGUUUUUCCAUUAACAAGAAUUUCUUAAAAUAAUAAUGUAUGGAUAUCAUUUGGAAAGUGACAGGAAAUGUUGUUAAAAAGUGAUGCAUACAAGUGUUUCAGAAGUCUGUCUAGGAAUAGAACAACAACUGAAGCUGACCAGUUGAUGGAAGAUACUGCAGAGUUUGGCAGGGAAAUAACCCAAGACAGCAAAGCGGCUCUUUUGGCGCAUUUACCAAGAGGACUAACAUGGCCACAAAUUCAUGAGAUCAUGCAGGAGCCCUACAGUAUAACAGCAGUACAAGUUCUAUAAAAGAUCCACGACCUACUGAAGCCCAGCUAAUUAACAAAAAAGUUUUUAAAAACUGUAAUUUUAUCCCAUCUGGGUACUUAUAAUUUACUAAGCUGCCUACACAAGUUUUAGAUUUGCAAUUAUAUUUUAAAUUGUCACUUGGAAAGUAAUACAUGUACAUCUAUUAUGUUCUGAAUUUCUUUGAACAAUAAAAUUAUAUAAAAGUAUUUUAAUGAAAUUAAGCACCUAAAUUGCAUUAAAGUGAAAGUAGCUGAGAACAAGAUGUGUUUGUGAAACACAAUGUCCCCCUAUAUGACGUUUGACCUUGAAGGAUGACCUUGACCUUGACCCUUCACCACUCAAAAUGUGCAGCUCCAUGAGAUACACAUGCAUGUCAAAUAUAAAAUUGCUAGCUUCAAUAUUGCAGAAGUUGCAUUACAUGAGCAAUUUUGACCCAUAUAUUUGACUUGGAAGGAUGACCUUGACCUUGACCUUUCACCACUCAAAAUGUGCAGCUCCAUAAGUUACACAUGCAUGCCAAAUAUCAAGUUGCUAUCUUCAAUAUUGCAAAAGUUUUCAUAAAAUAAGCGAUUUGGGCCACAUAUAUUUGACCUCUGACCUUGAAGGAUGACCUUGACCUUUCACCACUCAAAAUGUGCAGCUCUAUAAGUUACACAUGCAUGCCAAAUAUCAAGUUGCUAUCUUUAAUAUUGCAAAAGUAUUCAUAAAAUAAGCGAUUUGGGCCACAUAUAUUUGACCUCUGACCUUGAAGUAUGACCUUGACCUUUCACCACUCAAAAUGUGCAGCUCCAUGAGAUACACAUGCAUGCCAAAUAUCAAGUUGAUAUCUUCAAUAUUGCAAAAGUAUUCAUAAAAUGAGCGAUUUUGGCCACAUAUAUUUGACCUCUGACCUUGAAGGAUGACCUUGACCUUUCACCACUCAAAAUGUGCAGCUCCAUGAGAUACACAUGCAUGCCAAAUAUCAAGUUGCUAUCUUCAAUAUAGCAAAAGUUAUUGCAAAAUGUUAAAGUUGGUGCAAACCAACCAACCAACCAACAGACCAACCAACCAACAGACUAACCAACAGACAGGGCAAAAACAAUAUGUCCCCCACUACUAUAGUGGGGGACAUAAAAAUAUUAUCCUUGUGCUCAUGUUCAGCUACAUAUAUUGUGACAUACAUGAAGCAGCUAAAAAUAACUUAAAUUUUUCAUUUUGUUUCUUGUAUAUCGUUUGUACAGGGUUCGUGAAUUGUUACUGUAUAUUACUUGACUUGCUUGUAUUUUGUUACUUUGAAUACAUGUUGUGAAGGUUGCAUUAUACUUUUUAACUUUUAAAGGAGCGCUUGUUCUGUUAUGUAAGGGCCUGAUUUAUGAUUAUGGACCUAGAGGCUUUGUAAGCAUGUAUUAAACAACACUUGUUUGAUCUGAAUAAUUUGUUAAAUAAAUGUAACACAAUUUGUAAUCUGAUGUUAUAUUUUGAUGAAUUGUGAACAAAAUAAUACAUCGAAGAAACUAA
This is a long non-coding RNA of Dreissena polymorpha, 2204 nucleotides long. RefSeq lists it as uncharacterized. Lineage: Eukaryota; Metazoa; Mollusca; Bivalvia; Myida; Dreissenidae. The record is from RefSeq and is a predicted model, not a curated record. The transcript is spliced from 3 exons.